AAUCAACGCUGGCGGCGUGCCUAACACAUGCAAGUCGAACGCGAAAGUGGAGCAAUCCAUGAGUAGAGUGGCAAACGGGUGAGUAACACGUGGGUGACCUGCCUUCGAGCGGGGGAUAACGUCCCGAAGGGACGCUAGUACCGCAUAACAUGCCGCCUUUUAACAGGUGGACAUCAAAGCUGGGGAUCGCAAGACCUAGCACUUGAAGAGGGGUCCGCGCCUGAUUAGCUAGUUGGUGAGGUAACGGCUCACCAAGGCUUCGAUCAGUAGCCGUCCUGAGAGGGAGCACGGCCACACUGGAACUGAGACACGGUCCAGACUCCUACGGGAGGCAGCAGUGGGGAAUUUUUGGCAAUGGGCGAAAGCCUGACCAAGCAACGCCGCGUGGGUGAUGAAGUAUCUUGGUACGUAAAACCUUUCGGCAGGGACGAACCCAAUGACGGUACCUGCGGAAGAAGCCCGGCUAACUCCGUGCCAGCCGCCGCCGUAAU
This 491-nucleotide ribosomal RNA is filed under the name uncultured bacterium. Its description in RNAcentral is "bacterial SSU rRNA". It matches the Rfam family "Bacterial small subunit ribosomal RNA", at positions 32 to 524 of the family's 1533-position model. The record is from RNAcentral.